CAAAAUGUAGCUUAAUAAAAGCCCCUCGCUUACACCGAAACGUCAUCUGUUAGACUCAGAUCAUUUUGAC
Molecule: transfer RNA, 70 nt
Filed under: Xenophrys cf. parva NAP-2017
Lineage: Eukaryota; Metazoa; Chordata; Amphibia; Anura; Megophryidae
Description: tRNA-Val
Rfam family: tRNA
About the family: Transfer RNA (tRNA) molecules are approximately 80 nucleotides in length.
Source: RNAcentral